This is a non-coding RNA of Beta vulgaris subsp. vulgaris (sugar beet), 61 nucleotides long. Lineage: Eukaryota; Viridiplantae; Streptophyta; Magnoliopsida; Caryophyllales; Amaranthaceae. The record is from Rfam.
UUUAACUCAGUGGUAGAGUAACGCCAUGGUAAGGUGUAAGUCAUCGGUUCAAAUCCGAUAA